AUGGAGGAGGUGACUGCUUUUUCAAAUGUGAGGACAGUAAAGCAAACUUCAAGGAACACGAAAAAUCAAGGAAACGUGACACCACCAAAGGAACCAUUUGCCACUAACGUACCCCCCAAAGUGAAGACCUGCAAUUUGCCAGACAAAAAAUUCAAAAUAAGUGUUAAACAGGCGCUGGAGAAGAAGCUGUCGGAGUUGAGCAACUCGCAGCAGAGCGUGCAGACCCUGUCCCUGUGGCUAAUCCACCACCGCAAGCACUCGCGGCCCAUCGUCACAGUGUGGGAGCGGGAGCUGCGGAAAGCCAAACCAAACAGGAAGCUUACUUUUCUCUACCUAGCUAAUGAUGUCAUUCAGAACAGCAAAAGGAAGGGGCCAGAGUUUACAAAAGAUUUUGCACCAGUUAUAGUGGAGGCUUUUAAGCAUGUUUCAAGUGAAACUGAUGAAAGUUGUAAGAAGCACCUUGGAAGAGUGUUAUCUAUUUGGGAAGAAAGGUCUGUUUAUGAAAAUGAUGUAUUAGAACAACUUAAGCAAGCUCUGUAUGGCGAUAAGAAGCCUAGGAAGCGAACAUAUGAACAGAUAAAGGUGGAUGAGAAUGAAAACUGUUCCUCUCUAGGAUCUCCAAGUAAACCACCACAGACUCUAGAUCUCGUUAGAGCAUUACAAGAUCUAGAAAAUGCAGCUUCUGGUGAUGCAGCAGUUCAUCAAAGGAUAGCUUCUUUGCCUGUUGAAGUUCAAGAAGUAUCCCUACUAGAUAAAAUAACAGAUAAAGAAUCUGGAGAAAGACUUUCUAAAAUGGUAGAGGACGCUUGUAUGUUGCUGGCAGAUUACAAUGGAAGAUUGGCAGCUGAAAUAGAUGAUAGGAAGCAACUCACUCGAAUGUUAGCAGAUUUUCUUCGUUGUCAAAAGGAAGCCCUUGCAGAGAAAGAGCAUAAAUUGGAAGAAUACAAGCGCAAGUUAGCCAGAGUUUCCCUGGUGCGAAAAGAACUCAGGUCCCGGAUCCAGAGCCUGCCGGACUUAUCUCGAUUGCCCAAUGUUACUGGCAGCCACAUGCACCUGCCCUUUGUGGGGGACAUCUACAGUGAAGAUUGAUGACCAGUCUCUUUCCAGGGCCCAGGACUUUGCAAGAGAUGGAGACAGGUUAGGUGGAUAGUCCUGUAGUGUUAUUUUUGUAUAUUGUUGAGAGAGUGACAUUAACAAAAAGAAAUAAGUAAUUUAUAAAAUUGUUUAAAAUGUU
This is an RNA transcript of Aethalodelphis obliquidens (Pacific white-sided dolphin), 1234 nucleotides long. It is a transcript of the gene named regulation of nuclear pre-mRNA domain-containing protein 1A pseudogene, with no coding region annotated. The transcript has 2 exons. NCBI's taxonomy places the organism in Eukaryota, Metazoa, Chordata, Mammalia, Artiodactyla, Delphinidae. The record is from RefSeq and is a predicted model, not a curated record.